RNAcentral lists this transfer RNA (74 nucleotides) under Phycisphaerales bacterium. RNAcentral's name for it is "tRNA-Cys". It matches the Rfam family "tRNA". Rfam says of the family: Transfer RNA (tRNA) molecules are approximately 80 nucleotides in length. Their secondary structure includes four short double-helical elements and three loops (D, anti-codon, and T loops). The record is from RNAcentral. Lineage: Bacteria; Pseudomonadati; Planctomycetota; Phycisphaerae; Phycisphaerales.
GGCCGUGUACCCAAGUGGUCUAAGGGGACGGAUUGCAAAUCCGUUAUUCGUCGGUUCGAAUCCGACCGCGGCCU